UCCUGCAUUCGAAAGUGAUCAUGGGCUGCUUGUGCCCUGGUCAUUGAUAGUGCAGGAAGAAGAAUGGCUGGAAGACAUUUUCCCCGUGUUUGGAGGGUCCACCCAUCCCUUCCAAACCCUGUAGUUUUCCCACA
Molecule: small nucleolar RNA, 134 nt
Organism: Marmota marmota marmota (Alpine marmot)
Lineage: Eukaryota; Metazoa; Chordata; Mammalia; Rodentia; Sciuridae
Gene: SNORA71
Rfam family: Small nucleolar RNA SNORA71
About the family: The members of this family belong to the H/ACA class of snoRNAs which bind a number of proteins (including dyskerin, Gar1p and Nop10p) to form snoRNP complexes. This class of snoRNAs are thought to guide the sites of modification of uridines to pseudouridines by forming direct base pairing interactions with substrate RNAs.
Source: Ensembl